This 153-nucleotide non-coding RNA is filed under the name Agrobacterium albertimagni. RNAcentral describes it as "FMN sequence". It matches the Rfam family "FMN riboswitch aptamer (RFN element)". From Rfam's summary of the family: The RFN element is a highly conserved domain that is found frequently in the 5'-untranslated regions of prokaryotic mRNAs that encode for flavin mononucleotide (FMN) biosynthesis and transport proteins. This element is a metabolite-dependent riboswitch that directly binds FMN in the absence of proteins. The record is from RNAcentral. Lineage: Bacteria; Pseudomonadati; Pseudomonadota; Alphaproteobacteria; Hyphomicrobiales; Rhizobiaceae. RNAcentral also lists the same sequence under 1 other name.
AUUCGUUCUCAGGGCGGGGUGAAACUCCCCACCGGCGGUAAGGAGGAAACUCCAAGCCCGCGAGCGCCUGGUCUUCCGAAGGGGAGGGCAGGGUCAGCAGAUCCGGUGUAACUCCGGAGCCGACGGUUAAAGUCCGGAUGAAAGAGAAUGAGG